AAAGACUUAGUCCUAACCUUACCGUUAAUUAUAGCUAGACAUAUACAUGCAAGUAUCCGCAUCCCAGUGCAGAUGCCCUUAAUUUCUUCCUAUAUAAUCAAGAUAAAGGAGCAGACAUCAGGCACGCCCUAGCAGCCCAAGACGUCUUGCUUAGCCACACCCCCACGGGUAUUCAGCAGUAAUUAACAUUAAGCAAUAAGUGAAAACUUGACUUAGUCAUAGCUACCCAGGGCUGGUAAAUCUUGUGCCAGCCACCGCGGUCACACAAGAAGCCCAAAUUAACUGUUCACGGCGUAAAGAGUGGUAAAGUAUUAUCCGGACAACUAAGACCAAAGCACAACUAAGCUGUCAUAAGCUAAAGAUGUACUUAAGACCCGCUAUUAAAACGAUCUUAGACCCCCAUGACUAAUCAAACACCACGAAAGCCAGGGUCCAAACUGGGAUUAGAUACCCCACUAUGCCUGGCCCUAAAUCUUGAUGCGCUAUAUCACCAAGCCAUCCGCCUGGGAACUACGAGCACAAACGCUUAAAACUCUAAGGACUUGGCGGUGCCCCAAACCCACCUAGAGGAGCCUGUUCUGUAAUCGAUAACCCACGAUACACCCAACCUCCCCUUGCCAAACAGCCUACAUACCGCCGUCUCCAGCUCGCCCUUCCUGAGGGUUCAAUAGCGAGCAUGAUAACCCUAAUUUCGCUAAUAAGACAGGUCAAGGUAUAGCUAAUGGGGUGGAAGAAAUGGGCUACAUUUUCUAAAGUAGAACACUUAUUUUAAAACGAAAAGGGGCGUGAAAUCGCCCCUAGAAGGCGGAUUUAGCAGUAAAAAGGGACAAUAAAGCUCUCUUUAAGCCGGCCCUGAGGCACGUACAUACCGCCCGUCACCCUCCUCGCAGGCCGACACUAUAAAACAUAGCUAAUACACUCACAGGCCAAAGAUGAGGU
RNAcentral lists this ribosomal RNA (939 nucleotides) under Harpactes oreskios. Its description in RNAcentral is "partial 12S ribosomal RNA". It matches the Rfam family "Bacterial small subunit ribosomal RNA". The record is from RNAcentral. Lineage: Eukaryota; Metazoa; Chordata; Aves; Trogoniformes; Trogonidae.